Molecule: ribosomal RNA, 495 nt
Filed under: uncultured Archaeospora
Lineage: Eukaryota; Fungi; Glomeromycota; Glomeromycetes; Archaeosporales; Archaeosporaceae
Description: SSU rRNA
Rfam family: Eukaryotic small subunit ribosomal RNA
Source: RNAcentral
AGCAGCCGCGGUAAUUCCAGCUCCAAUAGCGUAUAUUAAAGUUGUUGCAGUUAAAAAGCUCGUAGUUGAAUUUUAGGCCUGGCCAGGCGGUCCGUCUUUGGCGAGUACUGUCUUGUUGUCGGGUCUUCCUUCUGGUGAACCAGUAUGUCCUUUAUUGGGUGUGUUGGGGAGCCAGGACCAUUACCUUGAAAAAAUUAGAGUGUUUAAAGCGGGCUAUUGCUUGAAUAGAUUAGCAUGGAAUAAUAGAAUAGGACGUUGUGGUUCUAUUUUGUUGGUUUCUAGGACCACCGUAAUGAUUAAUAGGGAUAGUUGGGGGCAUUAGUAUUCAAUUGUCAGAGGUGAAAUUCUUGGAUUUAUUGAAGACUAACUAUUGCGAAAGCAUUUGCCAAGGAUGUUUUCAUUAAUCAAGAACGAAAGUUAGGGGAUCGAAGACGAUCAGAUACCGUCGUAGUCUUAACCAUAAACUAUGCCGACUAGGAAUCGGGCGACGUUAUU